GACGAACGCUGGCGGCGUGCUUAACACAUGCAAGUCGAACGGAAAGGCCCUGCUUUUGUGGGGUGCUCGAGUGGCGAAGGGGUGAGUAACACGUGAGUAACCUGCCCUUGACUUUGGGAUAACUUCAGGAAACUGGGGCUAAUACCGGAUAGGAGCUCCUGCUGCAGGGUGGGGGUUAGAAAGUUUCGGCGGUUGGGGAUGGACUCGCGGCUAAUCAGCUGGUUGGUGGGGUAGUGGCUUACCAAGGCUUUGACGGGUAGCCGGCCUGAGAGGGUGACCGGCCACAUUGGGACUGAGAUACGGCCCAGACUCCUACGGGAGGCAGCAGUGGGGAAUAUUGCACAAUGGGCGGAAGCCUGAUGCAGCAACGCCGCGUGCGGGAUGACGGCCUUCGGGUUGUAAACCGCUUUCGCCUGUGACGAAGCGUGAGUGACGGUAAUGGGUAAAGAAGCACCGGCUAACUACGUG
Molecule: ribosomal RNA, 468 nt
Filed under: uncultured bacterium
Lineage: Bacteria
Description: partial 16S ribosomal RNA
Rfam family: Bacterial small subunit ribosomal RNA
Source: RNAcentral